GUCGAGCGCCCCGCAAGGGGAGCGGCAGACGGGUGAGUAACGCGUGGGAACGUACCCUUUACUACGGAAUAACGCAGGGAAACUUGUGCUAAUACCGUAUGUGCCCUUCGGGGGAAAGAUUUAUCGGUAAGGGAUCGGCCCGCGUUGGAUUAGCUAGUUGGUGGGGUAAAGGCCUACCAAGGCGACGAUCCAUAGCUGGUCUGAGAGGAUGAUCAGCCACAUUGGGACUGAGACACGGCCCAAACUCCUACGGGAGGCAGCAGUGGGGAAUAUUGGACAAUGGGCGCAAGCCUGAUCCAGCCAUGCCGCGUGAGUGAUGAAGGCCCUAGGGUUGUAAAGCUCUUUCACCGGAGAAGAUAAUGACGGUAUCCGGAGAAGAAGCCCCGGCUAACUUCGUGCC
This 400-nucleotide ribosomal RNA is filed under the name bacterium S4A-221-16S. Its description in RNAcentral is "bacterial SSU rRNA". It matches the Rfam family "Bacterial small subunit ribosomal RNA", at positions 61 to 509 of the family's 1533-position model. The record is from RNAcentral.